UACGAAGGGGGCUAGCGUUGUUCGGAAUUACUGGGCGUAAAGCGCACGUAGGCGGGUUUGUAAGUAGAGGGUGAAAUCCCAGAGCUCAACUCUGGAACUGCCUUCUAGACUGCAAGCCUGGAGGUCAGGAGAGGCGAGUGGAAUACCGAGUGUAGAGGUGAAAUUCGUAGAUAUUCGGUGGAACACCAGUGGCGAAGGCGACUCGCUGGACCGGCAUUGACGCUGAGGUGCGAAAGCGUGGGGAGCAAAC
Molecule: ribosomal RNA, 250 nt
Filed under: uncultured bacterium
Lineage: Bacteria
Description: partial 16S ribosomal RNA
Rfam family: Bacterial small subunit ribosomal RNA
Source: RNAcentral